UACGGGGGGAGCAAGCGUUGUUCGGAUUUACUGGGCGUAAAGGGCGCGUAGGCGGCCACCGCAAGUCGACUGUGAAAUCUCCGGGCUUAACCCGGAACGGUCAAGUGAUACUGUCGGGCUAGAGUGCAGAAGGGGCAACUGGAAUUCUCGGUGUAGCGGUGAAAUGCGUAGAUAUCGAGAGGAACACCUGCGGCGAAGGCGGGUUGCUGGGCUGACACUGACGCUGAGGCGCGAAAGCCAGGGGAGCGAACGGG
RNAcentral lists this ribosomal RNA (254 nucleotides) under uncultured bacterium. RNAcentral's name for it is "partial 16S ribosomal RNA". It matches the Rfam family "Bacterial small subunit ribosomal RNA", at positions 524 to 776 of the family's 1533-position model. The record is from RNAcentral.